This 431-nucleotide unclassified non-coding RNA is filed under the name Hevea brasiliensis (rubber tree). Lineage: Eukaryota; Viridiplantae; Streptophyta; Magnoliopsida; Malpighiales; Euphorbiaceae. The record is from RNAcentral.
GUUCAGAUUUCCUCUCGGUUAUCUGCAGGCAAACAAAUAUACUAGGAUUGAGAAUUUAAUAUAUGAAAGGUAAGACUGACCAAUAGACUUCUACAGGCCAUCAGUUCAUCACCAAAUAGGGGAGAAGUCUUCUCCAUGAAGUACCAAUAUUUCAAAUGCGGCACAAAUCCUUUCUUAUUCCCAUCAUUACUUAAUACAGGAAAUAAAACCGCUGUACACAAUUCAUCACCUCAUUCACCCAAUAACGGAUCCAAAAUAUUCCUAGUAAAGUUUAAGAUAAAGCCUGAAUAUGCAAACCAAAAACUAUAACAAGAGAAAUACUUAAAUAAACAAUUUGGGACUUAGCCGCCAAUUCAGUCAGUAUUCAAGCAAUGACAGAACCCUGCAAAAAAAGCUCAUUAUCUAGGCCAACAUUCCAACUCAGAGAACUA